UAAGGUGAAUGAUGGCCAUUAUCC
RNAcentral lists this non-coding RNA (24 nucleotides) under Arabidopsis thaliana (thale cress). Lineage: Eukaryota; Viridiplantae; Streptophyta; Magnoliopsida; Brassicales; Brassicaceae. The record is from RNAcentral.